GAUAAACGCUGGCGGCGCACAUAAGACAUGCAAGUCGAACGAACUUAAUUGAGAGCUUGCUCUCAAAGCGGUUAGUGGCGGACUGGUGAGUAACACGUAAGCAACCUGCCUAUUAGAGGGGAAUAACAGCGAGAAAUCGUUGCUAAUACCGCAUAUGCUGUGAGUAUCGCAUGAUACAAGCAGGAAAGGAGCAAUCCGCUAAUAGAUGGGCUUGCGUCUGAUUAGUUAGCUGGUGGGGUAACGGCCUACCAAGACGAUGAUCAGUAGCCGGACUGAGAGGUUGAACGGCCACAUUGGGACUGAGAUACGGCCCAGACUCCUACGGGAGGCAGCAGUCGGGAAUAUUGCGCAAUGGAGGAAACUCUGACGCAGUGACGCCGCGUGCAGGAAGAAGGUUUUCGGAUUGUAAACUGCUUUUAACAGGAAAGAAAAAAUGACGUACCUGUGA
RNAcentral lists this ribosomal RNA (448 nucleotides) under Clostridiales bacterium oral taxon 085. RNAcentral describes it as "bacterial SSU rRNA". It matches the Rfam family "Bacterial small subunit ribosomal RNA", at positions 28 to 484 of the family's 1533-position model. Lineage: Bacteria; Bacillati; Bacillota; Clostridia; Eubacteriales. The record is from RNAcentral.